Molecule: ribosomal RNA, 253 nt
Filed under: uncultured bacterium
Lineage: Bacteria
Description: partial 16S ribosomal RNA
Rfam family: Bacterial small subunit ribosomal RNA
Source: RNAcentral
UACGUAGGGUGCAAGCGUUAUCCGGAAUUAUUGGGCGUAAAGAGCUCGUAGGCGGUCUGUCGCGUCUGCUGUGAAAACUGGGGGCUCAACCCCCAGCCUGCAGUGGGUACGGGCAGGCUAGAGUUCGGUAGGGGAGACUGGAAUUCCUGGUGUAGCGGUGAAAUGCGCAGAUAUCAGGAGGAACACCGGUGGCGAAGGCGGGUCUCUGGGCAACAACUGACGCUGAGGAGCGAAAGCGUGGGGAGCGAACAGG